Molecule: RNA transcript, 4314 nt
Organism: Pseudopipra pipra
Lineage: Eukaryota; Metazoa; Chordata; Aves; Passeriformes; Pipridae
Gene: CD58
Gene name: CD58 molecule
Exons: 13
Source: RefSeq, a predicted model, not a curated record
AGGGGCGGGGCCGCAGGGCGGGACGAACCGCCUGGAGCAAGGCGGGCGUGAGCGGGUUUCGCUGUGACUUCCGAUGGGGCGGGCAGCGAUGAGGCUGCUGGCAUGGCUCCUGUGCUUCGCGUCCCUCUUGGUGCUCAUCUACUCUGAGGAUGUGUUUGGCAUUGUGGGAGAAAAUUUUACUUUUCCAGUAGAAAUAAAGCAAAGAAUAGAGGAUAUUACUUGGAACAAAAACAAGGAUAUAGUGGCUGAAUGGGAUGGGCAAGACCCACCGACAUAUUUAACUCAUCUCCAAGGCAGGAGUGUGCUUAAGGAGAAUGGGAAUUUGACUAUAUUUAACUUGGAGAAGAGUGAUGCUGGCACAUAUGAGUUAGUCUACCGGACUUCUGGGAAAGAUGGUUGUUUAGAAUUCAUUCUUGAGGUAUUAGAUCCCCCUUCAGAACCUAAAAUAAAUUACAGCAUCAAGGGUGAUACCCUUGUGUUAAACUGUACAUCAGAUUUCCAGAGGCCUGUGAAUUACACUUGGAAGCUCAGUAAUGAUCCACGCAGCCAUUGGAGCCGGGAAUUUUCCAUCCCUAUAAAGAAUAUUGAUGCUACCAAGAACGCUACAUGUUUCAUUACAUUCUCACAAACGGAAAGAAGCUCUGAAAUCUCUUUGAUUCAAUGCAUUUCAGAUGAAGAAGGAUACGGCUCUCAGAAAAGAAACAGAACUAUUCUUAUUGUGCUUUUUUCCCUCUUUAUACUUCUGGGAAUCCUAGUAUUCCUAUACAUGAGAGGUAGAGAUAAAUUCGAAAGAGGAAGAGUUGCUCAGAACAGUCCAGUGCAUGGCUCAGGAGAACGUGAGCAACUUUUCUCUAUGGACAGCCAGGAACAGCAUAACUCAGACAGAGCUAUAUUUUCACAGCCUGUUCAUUGUGAGAAUGAAAGGCCUGAAGCAGACAGAGAAUUGAACAAGGAGGACAGCGCCCUGAAAAACGAGCAGACAGUUAACAAUGGUGUAAAUAAGGAAGAACUGUCUGCCACGCAGAGCAGCACCCUGAGAUCCAAGUGUGCAGUUGAUGAUGGUGUAACUGAGGAAGAACUGACGCAGGUUGCAGAAGGUGGAAAUGAGGAGCACCUGAACGACUCUCCCAACUAAGAAGGAAAGAAAAAUCAGAUGAUGUUUUGUCUGUCAUACAGUCCUUAUUUGAAUGGUGUAACUAUGAGUAUCUCAUACUGGUUUCUGCUUUUUGUGUCGUACAUCAGUGUCCCCAAACUUUUUUGAUGGUGCACCACAUCAGUAAAAUACUUCGAACAUAUACACACAAUUUAUACAUAUUUAUUUAUAAAUUAUAUAUUAUUACUACCAUAAUUAUUAUAUGCAUUCUAAAAUAUGCACAAAAAUAAAAAUUAAAAAUUGUAGGGAUGAAAUAAGCAGUGGGUUUAAUUUUUAAAUUUUAUUAAUGGUGCAAAAAUAUGUUUUUCCUGCACCACAAUGGAUUGUCUUGUACACACCCACUUUGGAGCCUGCUGAUACAGAUAAUCCAUUUAAAGAUUCUCAAAAUGGGCAGUGAUGUGGAAGCAAGUGGCACCUUACUGCUGCAGAGUUUUUUGUUCUGUCAGGUUUGAUACUUCUGUUGAAUUACCAGCCAAGCAAUCACAUUCUGAUAUUUUCUGAAAACAAUGCUGAAAAGGGAAAAAAAUCUCUGAAUGUGAAGAAACAUGGAUAAGUGGAAAGGUGGGAGGGAGUUAGGACUAAGUAUAAGAAACCUGACUCUGUGAUGUGGACAAAGCUGCUGAUGAAACUGUCUUGAAACAAGGAAGCAGACUUGAAACAGGGCUGUACAACUGUAGAGGAAGCUGUGACGUCUCCUAAUAACUGAGUCAUAUCCUGUUAGUUACCAAGGAGUAAUACUGAAGACCAAAUGAAAUCUUAAAUCAUAAGCAAAUAAUUGCUUUUUGGAGCAAAGAAAGAUGGAAGAGAAGCUGUAAAAUUCAGUGGUGAAGAAGCUACUACCUCUUCCUUUGAAGGUCUUCCACAUACAAUGAAGUUAUCAGAGCUUCAUAAAGAACCACUUUGAAGACUAGUCGAGCAGUUUCCAGUGCCUAUUUUUCUUUGCUCAAAAGGGACAGCCUCCUUUUCUAGUGUUACUGUGUGAAGAUAAAUAGGCUGAAUCAUGGAAAAAGUCUUUUGGGUUGUUUUGUAUGCAGUUUUUAGUGCUCUACUAACACAGAAUGUAAGAGCUAAGGCCUAACUGCUCAGCUUUCUAUGCAAUUUUUGAUCAGUACCUUUUUAUAGUCAGAAGAAAGGCAGCUCAUCCUUCAGCAGACCCAGAUGGAUGGAAGUUGCAUUUUCUAGUCUUGGUUAUGCAACAAGAACUCAGUGCUCCAGACAAAGCUGUCUCCUGGACUUGGCAGAAGCCUGGCAAACUGAUCAUCUCAUGACAGUGGUUAUUUGUGAUUAAACCACAUUUCAGUUUGUUUAAACUACAUUUCAGUUUGUUGUUGCACUGGAACAAAGUUGCACUACUAUUAACUGUGGUUUAUUUUUUAUCUAAAGCUUUUUAUAAUUUUUGCAUGUUGUUACCUUUCAUCUUUCUCCUUGUUUCAACUUAUGCCCAUUAUCUUCCAUUCUCUCAAGUGGAACUACUGUCUCCAUCUUCUUGAUGAUCAGUUUAAUGAUCAGUAAGUAUGGGAAGGAUGCUGCUAGUACCCUCCUAAAGCCUACUCUUCUCCAGGCUUGAACAAGUACAGUGCCUUCAGCUUCUCCUUCUUUGCAGGACAAGUGCUCUGACCAUCUUGGUAGCCCUUCACUGAACUUGCUCCAAUUUAAUUGAUCUCUGCCUUCUUGAAGGGGUCCAGUGCAGUAUUCUAAAUGCAGUCUAAUCAAUGUGUGCUGAGUAGAGGAGGAUAAUCACUACUCUCAAUCUACUGGCUAAGCUCCUGGUAAUACAGACCAGGAUGCUGUUGUCUGCCUUUGCUGCCAGAGAACACUGCUGGCUCAUGUUCUACUUGCUGCUUAUUGAUGUCCCUCUGCUUCUUUUCAACAGAACUGCUCCCCUGCCAGCCACAUCCUGGCUUGUAUUAUUGCAAGUGGUUCCUCUUUCCAAGAGCUUUACAUUUGUCCUUUUUUAAUUUUGACCUGUCUAGGUCUCUCUGUCGGGCAGUCCUUUAGUAUGGUGAGGCGUUGGUGAGGCCACACCUGGAGUACCGUGUCCAGUUCUGGGCCCCUCAGUUCAGGAAGGAUAUUGAGGUCCUGGAGCAGGUCCAGAGGAGGGCACCUAGGCUGGUGAAGGGACUCAAGCACAAGACCUAUGAGGAGAGGCUGAGGGAGCUGGGGCUGUUCAGCCUGGAGAAGAGGAGGCUCAGAGGAGACCUCAUCACUCUCUACAUCUCCCUGAAAGGAGGUUGUAGCCAGGUGGGGGUUGGUCUCUUUUCCCAGGCAACUAUCAGCAAGACAAGAGGGCAUGGUCUCAAGUUGUGCCAGGGAAGGUUUACGUUAGAUAUUAGAAAGAAUUUCUUUACAGAGAGGGUGAUCAGACAUUGGAAUGGGCUGCCCAGGGAAGUAGUGGAUUCUCCGUCCCUGGAGAUUUUUAAAAAAGAGACUGGAUGUGGCACUUAGUGCCAUGGCCUAGUAACUGCAGCGGUAGUGGAUCAAGGGUUGGACUUGAUGAUCUCAGGUCUCUUCCAACCCAGCUGAUUCUAUGAUUCUAUGUUGACUGACUGUCCACAAUUUGGUGUCAUCUGCAAACUUGACUUAAAGAUUAUCUAGUGCCAUUGACAAGGAUGUCAUUCAGUAGACCAGGUUGCUGAAAACCCCAUCCAACUUGACCUUGAACGCUGCCAGUGAUGGGGCAUCCACAACUGCUUAGCCAAGCUGAAUCUUCUGAUUUACCUGCGUAUUUCCUGUCAGCAUGACCUGAUAGUCUCCAAGCUCAUGUAGUUCUGUGAACUCGAGGGCUAAAAUUCUGCCUCCUUGCUUUCUACACUGCAUGCAUUUGUGCAUGUAUCUUCUGGCCCCUUCUGCCAAUAUUUUUCUUUCUGAGGUCUGUUUUGUUUCUAUGACCCUGUACCCUUCAGACCUCUAUCCUCUAUGUCUUAACUAACAGUAUGAGAAGGAUCACAGAUAACUUGUGCCCUUACCAUGUCCUAUGGUAGGAAGUAAAGACCCUACAGAAAAUGAACUUUUUGCUUAUUUCUGCACAUACCAUUGAAGCAUUUUACAGGAACUGCAUUGCAUUUCAGAUGAUCUUUUUGUAGGGCUAGAUACCUUACCUCUACUGUUGUCUGUAAAUAUUUGUUUGUAAUUUAUUAAAAAAAUACUUAAGAUGUAAAAAA